This 492-nucleotide ribosomal RNA is filed under the name uncultured bacterium. Its description in RNAcentral is "partial 16S ribosomal RNA". It matches the Rfam family "Bacterial small subunit ribosomal RNA", at positions 29 to 507 of the family's 1533-position model. The record is from RNAcentral.
AGUGAACGCUGGCGGUAGGCCUAACACAUGCAAGUCGAACGGCAGCACAGUAAGAGCUUGCUCUUACGGGUGGCGAGUGGCGGACGGGUGAGGAAUACAUCGGAAUCUACUUUUUCGUGGGGGAUAACGUAGGGAAACUUACGCUAAUACCGCAUACGACCUACGGGUGAAAGCAGGGGAUCUUCGGACCUUGCGCGAUUGAAUGAGCCGAUGUCGGAUUAGCUAGUUGGCGGGGUAAAGGCCCACCAAGGCGACGAUCCGUAGCUGGUCUGAGAGGAUGAUCGGCCACACUGGAACUGAGGCACGGUCCAGACUCCUACGGGAGGCAGCAGUGGGGAAUAUUGGACAAUGGGCGCAAGCCUGAUCCAGCCAUACCGCGUGGGUGAAGAAGGCCUUCGGGUUGUAAAGCCCUUUUGUUGGGAAAGAAAAGCAGCAGGUUAAUACCCCGCUGUUCUGACGGUACCCAAAGAAUAAGCACCGGCUAACUUCGUG